GACGGAGGAUGCAAGCGUUAUCCGGAAUUAUUGGGCGUAAAGCGUCCGCAGGUGGCUGUUCAAGUCUGCUGUCAAAGCGCAGAGCUUAACUCUGUACAGGCGGUGGAAACUGAAGAGCUAGAGUAUGGUAGGGGUAGAGGGAAUUCCCGGUGUAGCGGUGAAAUGCGUAGAUAUCGGGAAGAACACCUAUAGCGAAGGCAGCUUACUAGGCUGUAACUGACGCUGAGGCACGAAAGUGUGGGGAUCAAACAGG
Molecule: ribosomal RNA, 253 nt
Filed under: uncultured bacterium
Lineage: Bacteria
Description: partial 16S ribosomal RNA
Rfam family: Bacterial small subunit ribosomal RNA
Source: RNAcentral